UACGUAGGGCGCAAGCGUUGUCCGGAAUUAUUGGGCGUAAAGGGCUUGUAGGUGGCCAACUAAGUCAGACGUGAAAUCCCUCGGCUUAACCGGGGAACUGCGUCUGAUACUGGAUGGCUAGAGUGUGGGAGAGGGAUGCGGAAUUCCAGGUGUAGCGGUGAAAUGCGUAGAUAUCGGGAGGAACACCGGUGGCGAAGGCGGUUCUCUGGGCCUUACCUGACGCUGAGGAGCGAAAGCGUGGGGAGCGAACAGG
This 253-nucleotide ribosomal RNA is filed under the name uncultured bacterium. Its description in RNAcentral is "partial 16S ribosomal RNA". It matches the Rfam family "Bacterial small subunit ribosomal RNA", at positions 524 to 776 of the family's 1533-position model. The record is from RNAcentral.